This 509-nucleotide ribosomal RNA is filed under the name uncultured Glomeraceae. RNAcentral's name for it is "SSU rRNA". It matches the Rfam family "Eukaryotic small subunit ribosomal RNA", at positions 569 to 1082 of the family's 1831-position model. Lineage: Eukaryota; Fungi; Glomeromycota; Glomeromycetes; Glomerales; Glomeraceae. The record is from RNAcentral.
AGCAGCCGCGGUAAUUCCAGCUCCAAUAGCGUAUAUUAAAGUUGUUGCAGUUAAAAAGCUCGUAGUUGAAUUUCGGAAUCGACGGAUUGGUCGCGCCUUUGGUGUGUACUGGUCUUGCCGGUUUCUCCCUUCUGACGAACCACGAUGUCAUUAAUUUGGUGUCGUGGGGAAUCAGGACUGUUACUUUGAAAAAAUUAGAGUGUUUAAAGCAGGCAUUAGCUUGAAUACAUUAGCAUGGAAUAAUGAAAUAGGACGUUUGAUCUUAUUUUGUUGGUUUCUAGGAUCGACGUAAUGAUUAAUAGGGAUAGUUGGGGGCAUUAGUAUUCAAUUGUCAGAGGUGAAAUUCUUGGAUUUAUUGAAGACUAACUACUGCGAAAGCAUUUGCCAAGGAUGUUUUCAUUAAUCAAGAACGAAAGUUAGGGGAUCGAAGACGAUCAGAUAGCGUCGUAGUCUUAACCAUAAACUAUGCCGACUAGGGAUCGGAUGAUGUUUAAUUUUUAAUGUACUCA